This 563-nucleotide ribosomal RNA is filed under the name uncultured Glomeromycotina. RNAcentral describes it as "SSU rRNA". It matches the Rfam family "Eukaryotic small subunit ribosomal RNA", at positions 548 to 1114 of the family's 1831-position model. Lineage: Eukaryota; Fungi; Glomeromycota. The record is from RNAcentral.
UUGGAGGGCAAGUCUGGUGCCAGCAGCCGCGGUAAUUCCAGCUCCAAUAGCGUAUAUUAAAGUUGUUGCAGUUAAAAAGCUCGUAGUUGAAUUUCGGGGUUAGUAGGUUGGUCAUGCCACUGGUAUGUACUGGUCUCACUGAUUCCUCCUUCCUGAUGAGCCGUAAUGCCACUAAUUUGGUGUUGCGAGGAAUCUGGACUGUUACUUUGAAAAAAUUAGAGUGUUUAAAGCAAGCUAACGCUUGAAUUCAUUAGCAUGGAAUAAUGAAAUAGGACGUUCGAUCCUAUUUUGUUGGUUUCUAGGAUUGACGUAAUGAUUAAUAGGGAUAGUUGGGGGCAUUAGUAUUCAAUUGUCAGAGGUGAAAUUCUUGGAUUUAUUGAAGACUAACUACUGCGAAAGCAUUUGCCAAGGAUGUUUUCAUUAAUCAAGAACGAAAGUUAGGGGAUCGAAGACGAUCAGAUACCGUCGUAGUCUUAACCAUAAACUAUGCCGACUAGGGAUCGGAUGAUGUUAUUUUUAAUGACUCAUUCGGCGCCUUACGGGAAACCAAAGUGUUUGGGUUC